Molecule: ribosomal RNA, 440 nt
Filed under: uncultured bacterium
Lineage: Bacteria
Description: partial 16S ribosomal RNA
Rfam family: Bacterial small subunit ribosomal RNA
Source: RNAcentral
CCUACGGGAGGCAGCAGUGGGGAAUAUUGCACAAUGGGGGAAACCCUGAUGCAGCGACGCCGCGUGAGUGAAGAAGUAAUUCGGUAUGUAAAGCUCUAUCAGCAGGGAAGAAAAUGACGGUACCUGAGUAAGAAGCCCCGGCUAACUACGUGCCAGCAGCCGCGGUAAUACGUAGGGGGCAAGCGUUAUCCGGAUUUACGUGGUGUAAAGGGAGCGUAGACGGCAGUGCAAGUCUGGAGUGAAAGGCGGGGGCUCAACCCCCGGACUGCUCUGGAAACUGUACGGCUGGAGUGCAGGAGAGGUAAGUGGAAUGCCUAGUGUAGCGGUGAAAUGCGUAGAUAUUAGGAGGAACACCAGUGGCGAAGGCGGCUUACUGGACUGUAACUGACGUUGAGGCUCGAAAGCGUGGGGAGCAAACAGGAUUAGAUACCCGGGUAGUC